ACUAAACUAAUGACCAGAGAGCCUCUUAAAACUAGGUGGUAAUGCAGAUUAAAGACCACUUGUACGUCUUGAAGGGAGAUGGGUUGUACAAAAACUUCAUUAAUCUUUGGGUAAGCCAAAUCAACCUUUUGAGGAGGUCUACAUACCAGUAGUGUAAGUCACUUUGAUGUCGUCAAAGAAAUGCCAGUCAUUAUGGAGGUAGAUUGGAUGUCGAGUAAAUCAGUUUAAAGCACCAUCCGAUUUGGCCUUCUUUCACUUCCCAACAUAAAGAACUCGCUAGGGAAACUAAAGGGGAACUAACAAAAGAAAGCACAAAGCACUCGCCAAAAUGGGUAAAACCCAUAUGAAAAUUAUAGAAAUAAGAGGAAGAAAGACAAAGGAAAAGGGAAAGAAGAAGAAGAAGAGGAAGAUGAAAGAGGCCAUACAAAAAGAAGAAAAAGAUGUGAAGGAAAUAGGGAAAAGAAAGGAAAGGAAGGAGGGGUUGUAACCAAGAGAACAAUCCUUCCCUAAAGCUGUUGUUGUGUUGAGAGUUUUUAGUGAAAAAGAG
This 547-nucleotide unclassified non-coding RNA is filed under the name Hevea brasiliensis (rubber tree). The record is from RNAcentral. Lineage: Eukaryota; Viridiplantae; Streptophyta; Magnoliopsida; Malpighiales; Euphorbiaceae.